UUUGAAUCUAGAAAUUGGAGGAGAUCCGAGGGAGAAAAAAGACGAGUGCUCCGGUGAAAGAGGAGAGCUAUUUUUGUGUGGAACUGAGUGUCAUUUUAACCGAGUUGUAUCGGCUAAGAUGACAUCAAAUUAGACCAGUGGCCGAGUUUCAAGUCCUACACCUUAGGAGACGCAACACAGAAUGUGUUCCUUAUGUAAGUUUUCUUCUCACAGUGGUUCCAUCUCUAGGUUUAUUAUGAUUUUCAAAUUAGUAUUAUUAGUUGGUGAAGUUACUUUUCGUGUUGUGGACAAGUCAGGCUAGGCCCUUUAGCUGUUCAACAUUUUUUGAAGUUUCUGAUCGUUAGAUAGUUUUAGCCAGAGUCUGGUAUUAGACGUCAUGUUGAUGCAGUUAGUAUCUUAUAAUGUAUAUUGUGAUCCUAAAUAUUUAUGUAAUCAUGAACUGGCCAGGGGAAGUUGUUUUCUCCAGUAAUUAAGUAUUGCAUAUGAACUUGCAAACCGAUUAUGUUACAUGUCUAAAGCAAGCUACGGCUGCGAGUCUCUCAGACUCUACAUUCUGUUUCGGAUCAGAACCUCUCUUUGAACCUGUAAGGAGUCUCAAUUGAUCUGAAGGUAGAGAGAUAUAUAAGCGCUUGCUAAACAAUGAGCUGAGCUUAAGAGUUCAUCUUAGAUCUGUUUCUUGCCAACUGUUGCACUGAUAUUUAAGUAUCUUCCCAAUCUCUUUGUUCCACUAAACCUGCUCUUGAGGUGACCAAUCUCCGUAAAUUCCAACUAAAAUCGCAGUAGAAGAAUAGGUGGUUAUGAGAGGCUCAUUAAAGUCCAAGAUUUGUGUGUGGUUAUAAAAUUCUACAUGAGAAACAUUUGCAAGUUCCGUAAACACACUGAACAUUUUGAAAAUCGUUUUAUUGAUUUUUCAUUCUCUUUAACAUUAUUAUCUUCAGGUUUGAGUUUUUUUCCUUGGAAUAUUCUUUGUCUUUUGCUGCUGUUUGCACGGUCUAUUCUCACAAACAUAUUGUCCUCAAGGUCAGAGACCUUUGUCUUUUCUGAAGUACUAUUGACAGCAUGAGGCCAUCGUGUUGAGAUCUGGAAGGCUGGCUAUUGUGGUGACUGUGAAGUUGAUCAGAAAUGGUUUCACCUAAGUGUUUCUGGGUCUGUAUAAUGCAUGUAAAGUGGAGACUUUGGCUUGUGUCGGAUCUCUGCAAAGUAUGCCGAAGAGGAAGAUCUGCUGGUGAGAUAAAGGAUGAAGAAAAACACAGUAGUCUAGAAGCGGGUCCCGAUCAGAAUUAAGCAACACAGCUGAUGAAUGUUAAAAGCAAAUUUAGAAGCAUAUAGAGAGAAGCAAAGGUGAGCUUGCAACUGAUGUCCACUUAAAUUAUAUCUUCUACUUGGUUGAGUUUUAUAUACAUAUGAUAUUUGUUUAUUGUUUGAAUUCAAGUUUGUAUCGCUUAUCAAAGGAACCGAUUAUCAUGCUUCAUACAGACUUUGUAUCUUAUUUCUAUGUCCCUGCUUUCACAGUAAACAUCCUCCUUACAUUGA
Camelina sativa (false flax) is the source of this 1533-nucleotide non-coding RNA. The record is from RefSeq and is a predicted model, not a curated record. NCBI's taxonomy places the organism in Eukaryota, Viridiplantae, Streptophyta, Magnoliopsida, Brassicales, Brassicaceae.